This 21-nucleotide non-coding RNA is filed under the name Caenorhabditis elegans. Lineage: Eukaryota; Metazoa; Nematoda; Chromadorea; Rhabditida; Rhabditidae. The record is from RNAcentral.
UUUGUGAUAAAAUCAAAAAAC